This 1882-nucleotide long non-coding RNA is filed under the name Mus musculus (house mouse). Its description in RNAcentral is "long non-coding RNA chr2:153771428-153773310". The record is from RNAcentral. Lineage: Eukaryota; Metazoa; Chordata; Mammalia; Rodentia; Muridae.
CCCCAUGAGUGUUGUUUUAUUUUGAAAAAUUGUAACUGCUUUUGAGGAUGGUAAGCUAUGUGGUUUAUUUAUUUUAUUUUUAUACAGACAGGUAUAGAUGCCAAGUAUGUGUCACCUCACACCUCAGUAAUUUAUUUCAUUUUUGAGAGGGUUUCACUAUGUGGCUCUGGCUGACCUGGAACUUGUCAUGCAGAUUAGGCUGGCCUGGAGCUCACAAGUGCUGGGAUCACAGGUGUGCACCAUCAUUCCUGGCUUGCAUGUUAAAACAGCAUUGGUGUUGCUGAAUGUGAAUGAAGAAGUAUCUGUGAGGAUCUGGGUCUGCUGUGGCUCCUGCCGGCCUGAGGGCCCUUUUGGUGAUCAGCAUGCCCUUGGAUGAGAUCAUAUUUUCAAAGGUAUUCUCUAGGUUGUAAUGUCUGAAUCCUUUUCAAGUUGGCUUUGAACUUUUCCUGAAUCACUAUGCUGAGACUUAUCUAGAUUUUUCCUUCUAUAUGCUUUCCCACAUAAAAAAAAAAAACUUGUUAUUGAUUAUAUUUUGACUCUUUUGAACUUUUUCCUAAAAUGAAUAGAAUACACUGUAACUAAGUCCAUUUCUCCUCCCACCCCAUUUUUCUUCCAGAUAAGGAGGAAAUUAUAUCCUAGCAUAUUUUAGUUAUGUUAAAUACUGAUAGUUUAGUCAGUGAAAAUAGGAUAUAAUUUUUAAAAACCCUACCAUUAAGUUAGUGUGUGUCAUGGGAAAAUUAGAAACAGUCAUAAAAAUCAACUUUCUGUAGGAAUAAAACCAAAAAAAAAAAGAAACAUUAAUUUUGUGGGUUUUUUUUUUACUGUAAAAAAAUCUCUAGUUUCAGGCUGAUGAGAUGUCUCAGCAGGUAAAGGUGUGUGUUGUAUAACUCUGACAACCUGACCUCAAUCCCCAGAACCCAUGGUGGAGGGAAGAGCCAGCUCCUGAAAGUUCCCCUCUAAUCUCCAUGUGAGCCCACCUGAGUGCUCCUGUACAUACACAGGCCACACAGUCCUUAUUUAGUGUGUAUGCGUCUUUUGCCUACAUAUAUGUCUGCACCAUGUGCAUGGAGUACCCAAGGAGGUAGAGUAAAAUAGGCCAUUAAGUGGAUUUCCUGUGAUUGAAAUUGAGAGACUUUUAUGAGCUAUUAUGUAGGUGCAUCAAACCUGGGUCCUCUGGAAUAACAAUCAGUGCUCUUAACCUCUGAUUCAGUUCUCCACUUUCUGCCCCACCCCCUGCAAGUUAAAUAAAAAUAAAAAUAAAAAUUUCUAGCUUCAUACCUAAGGAAAAAAAUCUAUCUGAAAGGAUUUUUGUGCCCCACCCCCUUGUUUCAAUGGCUUUCUUCCCUUGACCUUUCCUAUCCAGCGGUGUGUUGGGUGCGUUGAUUUAGAUACGUUUAUGUUCUCUGUUUAGGCCCAAGAAGGAAGCUUUGGUGGUGGUGUCUUGACACUUGGGUCAUGUUCAGUUCCUUACAGUCUGGUGCAAAGAUCUAGAAUCCAUGGCCCUAGCAGAAGUCUCCCUCAAAAGACCUGUUAGCAGCUGACUGGCCCUGGUGAAGGGUGAUGCGACUACCACGUCCAGGUCAUCCCUCAUCUCGGAUGCUCUUACUGACUUUCUCUGCUCAAAUAAUGGGCUGGUGCAGAACUUGGGGUGUGUUUGUGUCAAAGAGCUCUUGUGAUAUUUGCUCUCUGAACUGGGAGAACCAGUUGGCCUCUUUGGUUUGGUGAAGCUGCAUUCCCAUAGGGCUCCCUGGUUCCCUUGAGAGGGAGGCUCAGUCAGUGCUUGUCCGGUGGGUUACUUUGUAUUCACAUUUGUCCUGACUCUCUGCUGUUACUGCCCUCUGUGAGCUCAAUUUCUUUAAUAAAAGGUCUCAAACUGGGUGAA